RNAcentral lists this ribosomal RNA (503 nucleotides) under uncultured bacterium. RNAcentral describes it as "partial 16S ribosomal RNA". It matches the Rfam family "Bacterial small subunit ribosomal RNA", at positions 30 to 523 of the family's 1533-position model. The record is from RNAcentral.
AUUGAGCGCUGGCGGCAGGCUUAACACAUGCAAGUCGAGCGGGGUGAUGGUGCUUGCACUAUCACUUAGCGGCGGACGGGUGAGUAAUGCUUAGGAAUCUGCCUAUUAGUGGGGGACAACAUCUCGAAAGGGAUGCUAAUACCGCAUACGUCCUACGGGAGAAAGCAGGGGAUCACUUGUGACCUUGCGCUAAUAGAUGAGCCUAAGUCGGAUUAGCUAGUUGGUGGGGUAAAGGCCUACCAAGGCGACGAUCUGUAGCGGGUCUGAGAGGAUGAUCCGCCACACUGGGACUGAGACACAGCCCAGACUCCUACGGGAGGCAGCAGUGGGGAAUAUUGGACAAUGGGGGGAACCCUGAUCCAGCCAUGCCGCGUGUGUGAAGAAGGCCUUAUGGUUGUAAAGCACUUUAAGCGAGGAGGAGGCUCUUUUGGUUAAUACCCAAGAUGAGUGGACGUUACUCGCAGAAUAAGCACCGGCUAACUCUGUGCCAGCCGCCGCAGUAA